AAGAAUGUAGUUAUUUUAUAACAGUUGAUUUGCAAUCAAAAAGUAUUAUUUUUUUUAAUCUUUCUUA
This 67-nucleotide transfer RNA is filed under the name Pterygota sp. 3 LC-2017. RNAcentral's name for it is "tRNA-Ala". The record is from RNAcentral. Lineage: Eukaryota; Metazoa; Arthropoda; Insecta.